This is a ribosomal RNA of Drosophila miranda, 5079 nucleotides long. NCBI's taxonomy places the organism in Eukaryota, Metazoa, Arthropoda, Insecta, Diptera, Drosophilidae. The record is from RefSeq and is a predicted model, not a curated record.
CAACCUCAACUCAUAUGGGACUACCCCCUGAAUUUAAGCAUAUUAAUUAGGGGAGGAAAAGAAACUAACCAGGAUUUUCUUAGUAGCGGCGAGCGAAAAGAAAUCAGUUCAGCACUAAGUCACUUUGUCUAUAUGGCAAAUGUGAGAUGCAGUGUAUGGAACGUCAAUAUUCUAGUAUGAGAAAUUAACGAUUUAAGUCCUUCUUAAAUGAGGCCAUUUACCCAUAGAGGGUGCCAGGCCCGUAUAACGUUAAUGAUUACUAGAUGAUGUUUCCAAAGAGUCGUGUUGCUUGAUAGUGCAGCACUAAGUGGGUGGUAAACUCCAUCUAAAACUAAAUAUAACCAUGAGACCGAUAGUAAACAAGUACCGUGAGGGAAAGUUGAAAAGAACUCUGAAUAGAGAGUUAAACAGUACGUGAAACUGCUUAGAGGUUAAGCCCGAUGAACCUGAAUAUCCGUUAUGGAAAAUUCAUCAUUAAAGUUGUAAUAUUUUUAAAAUAUUAUAAUAAUAGUGUGCAUUUUUUCCAUAUAAGGACAUUGUAAUCUAUUAGCAUAUAACAAAUUUAUCAUAAAAUAUGACUUAUAGUUUAUUCAAAUUAUUAUGCUUGCAUUUUAACAUAGAAUAAAUGUCAUUAAUUUGAUAAAGUGUUGAUAAAUUAAAAUUAAUACAGUGCGUUAAUUUUUCGAAAUUAUAUAAUGGCAUAAUUAUCAUCGAUUUUUGUGUUUAUUAUAUGCAUUUGUAUGAUUAACAAUGCGAAAGAUUCAGGAUACCUUCGGGACCCGUCUUGAAACACGGACCAAGGAGUCUAACAUAUGUGCAAGUUAUUGGGAGAUAAACCUAAUAGCGUAAUUAACUUGACUAAUAAUGGGAUUAGUUUUUUAACUAUUUAUAGAUAAUUAACACAAUCCCGGGGCGUUCUAUAUAGUUAUGUAUAAUAAUAUUUAUAUUAUUUAUGCCUCUAACUGGAACGUACCUUGAGCAUAUAUGCUGUGACCCGAAAGAUGGUGAACUAUACUUGAUCAGGUUGAAGUCAGGGGAAACCCUGAUGGAAGACCGAAACAGUUCUGACGUGCAAAUCGAUUGUCAGAAUUGAGUAUAGGGGCGAAAGACCAAUCGAACCAUCUAGUAGCUGGUUCCUUCCGAAGUUUCCCUCAGGAUAGCUGGUGCAUUUUAAUGUUAUAUAAAAUAAUCUUAUCUGGUAAAGCGAAUGAUUAGAGGCCUUAGGGUCGAAACGAUCUUAACCUAUUCUCAAACUUUAAAUGGGUAAGAACCUUAACUUUCUUGAUAUGAAGUUUAAGGUUAUGAUAUAAUGUGCCCAGUGGGCCACUUUUGGUAAGCAGAACUGGCGCUGUGGGAUGAACCAAACGUAAUGUUACGGUGCCCAAAUUAACAACUCAUGCAGAAACCAUGAAAGGCGUUGGUUGCUUAAAACAGCAGGACGGUGAUCAUGGAAGUCGAAAUCCGCUAAGGAGUGUGUAACAACUCACCUGCCGAAGCAACUAGCCCUUAAAAUGGAUGGCGCUUAAGUUGUAUACCUAUACAUUACCGCUAAAGUAGAUGAUUUAUAUUACUUGUGAUAUAAAUUUUGAAACUUUAGUGAGUAGGAAGGUACAAUGGUAUGCGUAGAAGUGUUUGGCGUAAGCCUUCAUGGAGCUGCCAUUGGCACAGAUCUUGGUGGUAGUAGCAAAUAAUCGAAUGAGACCUUGGAGGACUGAAGUGGAGAAGGGUUUCGUGUGAACAGUGGUUGAUCACGAGUUAGUCGGUCCUAAGUUCAAGGCGAAAGCCGAAAAUUUUCAAGUAAAAAAUCAGUGAGUAAUAUUGUCAAAUCUUUUAUGAUUUUUAAAUACUUGAAUAAUUUUGAACGAAAGGGAAUACGGUUCCAAUUCCGUAACCUGUUGAGUAUCCGUUUGUUAUUAAAUAUGGGCCUCGUGCUCAUCCUGGCAACAGGAACGACCAUAAAGAAGCCGUCGAGAGAUAUCGGAAGAGUUUUCUUUUCUGUUUUAUAGCCGUACUACCAUGGAAGUCUUUCGCAGAGAGAUAUGGUAGAUGGGCUAGAAGAGCAUGACAUAUACUGUUGUGUCGAUAUUUUCUCCUCGGACCUUGAAAAUUUAUGGUGGGGACACGCAAACUUCUCAACAGGCCGUACCAAUAUCCGCAGCUGGUCUCCAAGGUGAAGAGUCUCUAGUCGAUAGAAUAAUGUAGGUAAGGGAAGUCGGCAAAUUAGAUCCGUAACUUCGGGAUAAGGAUUGGCUCUGAAGAUUGAGAUAGUCGGGCUUGAUUGGGAAACAAUAACAUGGUUUAUGUGCUCGUUCUGGGUAAAUAGAGUUUCUAUCAUUUAUGGUAGUUACUUGUUCCCCGGAUAGUUUAGUUACGUAGCCAAUUGUGGAACUUUCUUGCUAAAAUUUUUAAGAAUACUAAUUGGGUUAAACCAGUUAGUUCUUAUUAAUUAUAACGAUUAUCAAUUAACAAUCAAUUCAGAACUGGCACGGACUUGGGGAAUCCGACUGUCUAAUUAAAACAAAGCAUUGUGAUGGCCCUAGCGGGUGUUGACACAAUGUGAUUUCUGCCCAGUGCUCUGAAUGUCAAAGUGAAGAAAUUCAAGUAAGCGCGGGUCAACGGCGGGAGUAACUAUGACUCUCUUAAGGUAGCCAAAUGCCUCGUCAUCUAAUUAGUGACGCGCAUGAAUGGAUUAACGAGAUUCCUACUGUCCCUAUCUACUAUCUAGCGAAACCACAGCCAAGGGAACGGGCUUGGAAUAAUUAGCGGGGAAAGAAGACCCUUUUGAGCUUGACUCUAAUCUGGCAGUGUAAGGAGACAUAAGAGGUGUAGCAUAAGUGGGAGAUAUUAGAUUUCGGUUUGGUAUCGACAAUGAAAUACCACUACUCUUAUUGUUUCCUUACUUACUUGAUUAAAUGGAACGUGUAUCAUUUCCUAGCCAUUAUACGGAUAUAUUUAUUAUAUCUUAUGGUAUUGGGUUUUGAUGCAAGCUUCUUGAUCAAAGUAUCACGAGUUUGUUAUAUAAUCGCAAACAAAUUCUUUAAUGAGAAGAUGCAGUUAUGUAUUUUCAAUUUGAAAAUUUGGUAUAACUCCAAUUACUCAGGUAUGAUCCAAUUCAAGGACAUUGCCAGGUAGGGAGUUUGACUGGGGCGGUACAUCUCUCAAAUAAUAACGGAGGUGUCCCAAGGCCAGCUCAGUGCGGACAGAAACCACACAUAGAGCAAAAGGGCAAAUGCUGACUUGAUCUCGGUGUUCAGUACACACAGGGACAGCAAAAGCUCGGCCUAUCGAUCCUUUUGGUUUAAAGAGUUUUUAACAAGAGGUGUCAGAAAAGUUACCAUAGGGAUAACUGGCUUGUGGCGGCCAAGCGUUCAUAGCGACGUCGCUUUUUAUACCCGAUACUCAAAAUGAGUAUUGGGGUAUAUUAGAUUUGUGGUAAAAGUGGAUGUGUGUAACGUCCAGAAGGAAUCGUUACCGACCCCAUAAAGUAUAUAUAUUCUUGAUCAGCAUCAAUAGCCGAGUCGAUUGAGCCCUGUCUGUCUGUCCGUCUGUCCGUCCGUCCGUCCGUCCGUCCGUCCGUCCGUCCGUCCCCUUCAGUGCUCGAAGACUAUAAGAGCUAGAGCAACGAUGUUUUGGAUCCAGACUUCUGUGAUAUGUCACUGCUACAAAAAUAUUUCAAAACUUCGCCUCGCCCACUUCCGCUCCCACAAAGGACGAAAAUCUGUGGCAUUCACAAUUUUAAAGAUAUGAGAAAACCAAAAACGUAGAAUUGUAGAGAAUGACCAUAUCUUUAAGACUGCGGAAUCUGAAUUGGAUCGUAUUAUUAUUAUAGCCAGCAUCAAGAAAACAAUUUAAUUUUUUCUCGCCCUGUGUCUCUCUAACACACACGUAGCAUAGGCGGCUUUGCUUAGAGUAAAACAUUAGCGCCUAGAUAUCAGAGACUAUAAAAGCUAGAGCAACCAAAUUUGGUAUCCACACUCCUAAUAUAUCGGACCGAGACGAGUUUGUUUCAAAAUUUCGCCACUCCCCCUUCCGCCCCCGCAAAGGACGAAAAUCUGAGGAUAUUCAAAAAUCUCAGAGACUAUUAAGGCUAGAGUAACCAAAUUUGGUAUCCGCACUUCUGUUAGAUCUUACUAUAAAACGUGUAUCUCAAAAUUUCGCCCCACCUUCUUCCGCCCACACAAAGCACGAAAAUCUGUUGCAUCCACAAUAUUGCACAUUCGAGAAAACUAAAAACGCAGAAUCAUAGAUAAUGACCAUAUCUAUCAGAUUGCUGAAUCUGGAUCAGAUCAGAUCAUUUUUAUAGCCAAUAGGAACAAAUCAAUUUGCAGUGGUUACGCAGCGCCCGACGUCACGCUCAGACUGAUUUUCUGUCUCUCUCGCACGCACUCUUUGUCGUGUCGUUUAAUAUUAGCGGCGUCUGCCGGAGGAGAGCCAUACUGACUUAGUAUCGGGUAUAACCGUAGAGUUGCGGUGUCCGCAGCAACUCACAACGUUCCCCCUCGUUGAUCCUUCGAUGUCGGCUCUUCCUAUCAUUGUGAAGCAAAAUUCACCAAGCGUUGGAUUGUUCACCCAUGCAAGGGAACGUGAGCUGGGCUUAGACCGUCGGGAGACAUGUUAGUUUUACCCUACUAAUGACAAAACGUUGUUGCGACAGCAUUCCUGCGUAGUACGAGAGGAACCGCAGGUACGGACCAAUGGCACAAUACUUGUUCGAGCGAACAGUGGUAUGACGCUACGUCCGUUGGAUUAUGCCUGAACGCCUCUAAGGUCGUAUCCGUGCUGGACUGCAAUGAUAAAUAAGGGGCAAUUUGCAUUGUAUGGCUUCUAAACAAUUAAAAGUUUAUAAUUUAUUGUAUAAACGACAAUGGAUGUGAUGCCAAUGUAAUUUGUAACAUACUAAAUUGGGAGGAUCAUCGAUCACCUGAUACCGCGCUGGUUGUAUAUAAAAACAUUAUUUAACACAAUGACAAAGUCUAGAAUCAAUUGUAAACGACUUUUGUAACAGGCAAGGUGUUGUAAGUGGUUGAGCAGCUGCCAUACUGCGAUCCACUGAAGCUUAUCCUUUGCUUGAUGAUUCGA